UACGGAAGGCAGCAGUGGGGAAUAUUGGACAAUGGGCGCAAGCCUGAUCCAGCCAUGCCGCGUGUGUGAAGAAGGCCUUCGGGUUGUAAAGCACUUUUGUCCGGAAAGAAAAGCUUAGGGUUAAUAACCUUGAGUCAUGACGGUACCGGAAGAAUAAGCACCGGCUAACUUCGUGCCAGCAGCCGCGGUAAUACGAAGGGUGCAAGCGUUACUCGGAAUUACUGGGCGUAAAGCGUGCGUAGGUGGUUUGUUAAGUCUGAUGUGAAAGCCCUGGGCUCAACCUGGGAAUGGCAUUGGAAACUGGCUUACUAGAGUGCGGUAGAGGGGUGUGGAAUUCCCGGUGUAGCAGUGAAAUGCGUAGAUAUCGGGAGGAACAUCUGUGGCGAAGGCGACACCCUGGACCAGCACUGACACUGAGGCACGAAAGCGUGGGGAGCAAAC
Molecule: ribosomal RNA, 441 nt
Filed under: uncultured bacterium
Lineage: Bacteria
Description: bacterial SSU rRNA
Rfam family: Bacterial small subunit ribosomal RNA
Source: RNAcentral